UAAUUCCCAAAUUCCCAAAACUACAAACUACAACUUGUUAAAUUCGAUUUUCAUAAUUAUACCACUUAGAAUUAGAGAAAGUUAGUCCCACCCUUACCUUAUCUUGACCGAUUGAAAGGUUCUCUUCUCUGGUUCUCCUCUUCUCUUGGUUUUCUCCCUUUUUCUCCAAAAACAGGUUUCACGUGAAAACUAUCUGACCCUAGUUUUCCCUAUUUAUUUCCUCAACCUACUUUAUCUUAUUUCCACU
This 247-nucleotide long non-coding RNA is filed under the name Medicago truncatula (barrel medic). Its description in RNAcentral is "long non-coding RNA (MTRU_LNC004995)". The record is from RNAcentral. Lineage: Eukaryota; Viridiplantae; Streptophyta; Magnoliopsida; Fabales; Fabaceae.